AUGGACCUGCCGCUAGCCCUCGCAGCUCUAGUCCUCCUCCUCCUCGUGCUCCUCGCCGCCCCGCCGGCGGCGCUGCUCAUUGCCCUCCACCUGCGCCGCCGCCGCCGCAGCCUCCGGAGGCCCCGGCCAACGCCGCCCGAGCCGGCGGCCGCGGCGCUCGAGCCGAGCGCGCCGGCCGAGGAGGACGAGGGCGGGGAGGAGAAGAGGCGGCGGCGGAGGGCGCGGCGGAAGCAGCAGCAGCAGAAGCAGGGCGGCGACGGGGCCGCCUCGCGGGCGGCGGGCGGCGGUGGGGACGGCGCGCUGCCGCCGCGGCCGCGGUUCCCGCUCGCUUCGGUGGCCGGCGCGCUGCAGCGGCGGAUCACCGCGCGGUACGACGAGCUCGCGCUGGCCAGCCAGGCCCAGUCCCUCACCAUUGACCAGGUCCAUGAGUUUCUUAAGACUCUUGUAGAUGCGAGGGAUGAACUACUACAAAAGUCUGAGAACACCCGAAGAAGCAUCACAAUAAGGAAGGCCAUGUUAUCCAACAGUCGUAACGGUAGGUCUUCACAUGACCACCUUCGCUUAUGUGAACAGGUGAGUAGAUUGGAAUUCGAAUAUGAAAGACUAAAGAAAGAUGCCAGCAUUUACCAUAAUCUCCAUGAGCAGCUUCAGCUGUCAUCGUGCUACAAACUGAUGGAGGAGAGCAACGAUGAAGCGGAGAAGAGAAUUCGCGAAGGAGCCUUCGCCAAAGGGGUGCGUGAUACCGCCUUCGAGGACCUGCUGGCCGUGGAGAAGAAGGACGACGCUUUCUGGCGCCGUGACGGGAAGCUGAGGUCGAUCUCGGACAGCAUGGCCAUGGCCACGCGAGAGCAGCCGUCGCAGGGCGUGACGCCGGACGCUGCCGCCACUCAGCCUCGGAGGCCCCGCGUCCUGGUCGCCGCCUCCGGCAGCGUGGCGGCGAUCAAGUUCGAGGUCCUGUGCCGGAGCCUCGCCGAGUGGGCCGACGUCCGGGCGGUGGCGACGGCCUCGUCCCUGCACUUCAUCGACAGGGAGUCGUUCCCGAGCGGCGUCGCCCUCCUCACCGACGCCGACGAGUGGUCCGCCUGGGGGAGGAUCGGCGACGAGGUCCUGCACAUCGAGCUGUGCGAGUGGGCCGACGCCAUGCUCAUCGCGCCACUCUCGGCCAACACCCUGGCCAAGAUCGCUGGCGGGCUGUGCGACAACCUCCUGACGUGCGUGGUGCGCGCGUGGGACUACAGCAAGCCCAUCUACGUCGCGCCAGCCAUGAACACCUUCAUGUGGGACAACCCCUUCACCAGCCGCCAUCUCGACGCCGCCGCCGGCCUCGGCGUCUCCCUCAUCCCUCCGGUGACCAAGCGGCUCGCCUGCGGGGACUACGGCAACGGCGCCAUGGCAGAGCCCGCCGAGAUCUGCAGGACCCUCAGGCUCUUCUUCGGUUCACAAGAACCAUUCUGA
This 1455-nucleotide ribosomal RNA is filed under the name Triticum aestivum (bread wheat). RNAcentral's name for it is "partial small subunit ribosomal RNA". The record is from RNAcentral. Lineage: Eukaryota; Viridiplantae; Streptophyta; Magnoliopsida; Poales; Poaceae.